AUUGAACGCUGGCGGCAUGCCUUACACAUGCAAGUCGAACGGCAGCGCGGGGCAACCUGGCGGCGAGUGGCGAACGGGUGAGUAACAUAUCGGAACAUACCCUAGAGUGGGGGAUAACGUAGCGAAAGUUACGCUAAUACCGCAUACGAUCUAAGGAUGAAAGUGGGGGAUCUUCGGACCUCAUGCUCAUGGAGUGGCCGAUAUCUGAUUAGCUAGUUGGUGAGGUAAAGGCUCACCAAGGCGACGAUCAGUAGCUGGUUUGAGAGAACGACCAGCCACACUGGAACUGAGACACGGUCCAGACUCCUACGGGAGGCAGCAGUGGGGAAUUUUGGACAAUGGGGGCAACCCUGAUCCAGCAAUGCCGCGUGAGUGAAGAAGGCC
Molecule: ribosomal RNA, 384 nt
Filed under: uncultured bacterium
Lineage: Bacteria
Description: bacterial SSU rRNA
Rfam family: Bacterial small subunit ribosomal RNA
Source: RNAcentral